This 1284-nucleotide long non-coding RNA is filed under the name Callithrix jacchus (white-tufted-ear marmoset). Its description in RNAcentral is "lncRNA (ENSCJAG00000081919.1)". Lineage: Eukaryota; Metazoa; Chordata; Mammalia; Primates; Cebidae. The record is from RNAcentral.
UAAAAUUAAUGAUGGAUGACAAAGUACAGCUGUAAGAAGCUUAGAGAACAAUAAUAAAGAUGUUUAAAACCCUAGACCAAUCUUCUGAAAACCAAAGAUAAAGAGAAAAUCUCGAAGGCCAUGAAUAAAAAAAAAUUGCAUAAAGAGAAGCAAAGAUAAAAAUUAUGAGCCACUUCCCCUUAAAUCUCUGCAAGCUGGGCCAGGCACAGUGGCUCACACCUGUAAUCCCAGCACUUUCGGAGGCCAAGGCUGGUGGAUCACAAGGUCAAGAGAUCGAGACCAUCCUGGUCAACAUGGUGAAACCCUGUCUCUACUAAAAAUACAAAAAAUUAGCUGAGUGUGGUGGCACGUGCCUGUAAUCCCAGCUAUUCAGGAGGCUGAGGCAGGAGAAUUGCCUGAACCCAGGAGGCGGAGGUUGCAGUGAGCUGAGAUCGCGCCAUUGCACUCCAGCCUGGGUAACAAGAGCAAAACUCUGUCUAAAAAAAAAAAAAAUCUCUGCAAGCUGGAAGACAAAAGUGACAUCUUUAAAGUGCUGAAAGAAACAAAUUGUACAAAAUUAUUGCAGGUAUCCUGAAAAUAUGAACAUCUAUUAUAUAUUAAUAAAAAAAUUUAAAAACACAACUGUCCAUACAGAAAUCUAUAUCCAGCAAAAAUAUCUUUCAAAAAUACAUUUUUCAGGCAAAAACUUGGUGAACUCAUUACAAGUAGACCUGUUCUAUGGAAAAAAAUGUUAAAGUUCUUCAGACAGAAUAUAAUACCAGAUUAAAGAAUCUUGGACCUACUUGAAGAAAUGAAGAGCACUGGAAAUGGCAUUAAUGAAGGGACAUAGAUGAAUCUGGAAACCAUCUUUCUCAGCAAACUGACACAAGAACAGAAGACCAAACACCACAUGUUCUUGCUCAUAGGGAAAUCUCAAGCAGUUUCAUCCAGCAAAUAUACAAGCCUUUUGUGCCUUGAACCCCAAUGCGUAAAGACAUUCACAAACAUCCUGGAAUUGGUGUGUUAUUUUAUAAGCUCCUCUCUCUUGAAAGUCACUGCGUAUGGAAAUAAGCAAGUACUUUAGCCUUGGAAAUUCUGUAAAGACAUCUUUUGGUUGAGAGCUGAUGUUGAAAUAGAUUUGGCCAUAAAUGCUGUUUUUCCAUCCAGAAUAAGUUUGAAAAUAUAUACAUGGUGGUAAAACAGAGUUGCCAGAUGAAUUUUGCUUAUUUUGCUAUUUGCUUAAAAUCCACCAGCAAAUUUACUCGUGAAGAAAAGCCCUGGUCAUGAUUCCUAUAUCGUCACAAU